GACGAACGCUGGCGGCGUGCUUAACACAUGCAAGUCGAACGGUAAGGCCCUUCGGGGUACACGAGUGGCGAACGGGUGAGUAACACGUGGGUGAUCUGCCCUGCACUUCGGGAUAAGCCUGGGAAACUGGGUCUAAUACCGGAUAGGACCACUGCCUGCAUGGGUGGUGGUGGAAAGCUUUUGCGGUGUGGGAUGGGCCCGCGGCCUAUCAGCUUGUUGGUGGGGUGAUGGCCUGCCAAGGCGACGACGGGUAGCCGGCCUGGGAGGGUGACCGGCCACACUGGGACUGAGAUACGGCCCAGACUCCUACGGGAGGCAGCAGUGGGGAAUAUUGCACAAUGGGCGCAAGCCUGAUGCAGCGACGCCGCGUGAGGGAUGACGGCCUUCGGGUUGUAAACCUCUUUCAGCACCGACGAAGCGCAAGUGACGGUAGGUGCAGAAGAAGGACCGGCCAACUACGUGCCAGCAGCCGCCGCGG
This 478-nucleotide ribosomal RNA is filed under the name uncultured bacterium. RNAcentral describes it as "partial 16S ribosomal RNA". It matches the Rfam family "Bacterial small subunit ribosomal RNA", at positions 28 to 523 of the family's 1533-position model. The record is from RNAcentral.